Molecule: long non-coding RNA, 413 nt
Filed under: Elaeis guineensis (African oil palm)
Lineage: Eukaryota; Viridiplantae; Streptophyta; Magnoliopsida; Arecales; Arecaceae
Description: long non-coding RNA (EGUI_LNC040676)
Source: RNAcentral
GGGUUGCUAUGGGUUGAAUUUGAGGUUUCAAAAUUCAACAAUACUCAUAUAUGCUAUGCUAAAGUAUAGUAAGAUUUUAAUUAAGAUGAAAUCUUAAUCUUAUUACUCUAUCCAAUUAAUUACCAUAUAAAUUUUUCAUAACUCUGACUGAAUCUUAAUAUCUCACAAUCUGAAUUAUUCACAGGUAGGAGUGGCAGUUCAUUUCUAGAUCGAGGAAAUACCAUAUAAGUUUAGGAGCUAAGAGAAUUAAGGAUAGCUACCUUACAAUGAAUCUUGAAGGGGCUUCGGCCUUCGGCCAAAUACUAAUGAAACAUUUGCAAUCCAUUCAAGCACAUCACACUAUCUCAAAGAACCUAAAUUUUGUUAGCACUUAUGAUGGCAGAAAAAUCCAGAUAAAUCGCUCUCCACCUGCA